Molecule: ribosomal RNA, 489 nt
Filed under: uncultured bacterium
Lineage: Bacteria
Description: bacterial SSU rRNA
Rfam family: Bacterial small subunit ribosomal RNA
Source: RNAcentral
CUACGUGCCAGCAGCCGCGGUAAUACGUAGGGCGCGAGCGUUGUCCGGAAUUAUUGGGCGUAAAGAGCUUGUAGGCGGUUUGUCGCGUCUGCUGUGAAAGGCCGGAGCUUAACUCCGUGUAUUGCAGUGGGUACGGGCAGACUAGAGUGCAGUAGGGGAGACUGGAAUUCCUGGUGUAGCAGUGAAAUGCGUAGAUAUGCGGAGGAACACCGAUGGCGAAGGCAGCCUCCUGGGAUAACACUGACGCUCAUGCACGAAAGCGUGGGGAGCAAACAGGAUUAGAUACCCUGGUAGUCCACGCCCUAAACGAUGUCUACUAGUUGUCGGGGAUUAAUUUCCUUGGUAACGCAGCUAACGCGUGAAGUAGACCGCCUGGGGAGUACGGUCGCAAGAUUAAAACUCAAAGGAAUUGACGGGGACCCGCACAAGCGGUGGAUGAUGUGGAUUAAUUCGAUGCAACGCGAAGAACCUUACCAAGGCUUGACAUGC